RNAcentral lists this non-coding RNA (214 nucleotides) under Desulfosporosinus youngiae. RNAcentral describes it as "T-box sequence". It matches the Rfam family "T-box leader". Rfam says of the family: Uncharged tRNA acts as the effector for transcription antitermination of genes in the T-box leader family. T-boxes are found upstream of many aminoacyl-tRNA synthetase genes and some amino acid biosynthetic genes usually in Gram-positive bacteria. The record is from RNAcentral. Lineage: Bacteria; Bacillati; Bacillota; Clostridia; Eubacteriales; Desulfitobacteriaceae.
UCUAAGGCGAUGAUGAGAAAGAGUACAAAGAGGGUUUGCGACCAGCGAAAAUGGGAUAGUGGAAGCCAUUUGCAAGGAGUUUUUGGAAGUGCGUCUCGGAGUUGAUUGGAAGAAUUCAGAAGUAUUCCAAUCCGUAUUGACUGCGUUAAAGUUUUAAGCUGGAACGGUAUAGCCGUUCAAACAGAGUGGGACCGCGGAACUUUUCGUCUCUGGA